This 31-nucleotide non-coding RNA is filed under the name Xenopus tropicalis (tropical clawed frog). Lineage: Eukaryota; Metazoa; Chordata; Amphibia; Anura; Pipidae. RNAcentral also lists the same sequence under 1 other name. The record is from RNAcentral.
UACUGGAUGAAACAUGGUUGAGCGCCUGUAU